UACAGAGGGUGCGAGCGUUAAUCGGAAUCAUUGGGCGUAAAGGGCGCGUAGACGGUGAUAUAAGCGGACGUUGAAAGGCAAGGGCUUAACCUUUGCAAGGCGUUUGAACUGUAUGACUAGGGUCUGUCAGAGGUGGGAGGAAUUCUCGAAGUAGCGGUGGAAUGCGUAGAUAUCGGGAGGAACACCGGAGGCGAAGGCGUCCCACUGGGAUAAGACCGACGUUGAGGCGCGAAAGCGUGGGUAGCGAACAGG
Molecule: unclassified non-coding RNA, 252 nt
Filed under: uncultured Gammaproteobacteria bacterium
Lineage: Bacteria; Pseudomonadati; Pseudomonadota; Gammaproteobacteria
Description: contains 16S-23S intergenic spacer region
Rfam family: Bacterial small subunit ribosomal RNA
Source: RNAcentral